UAAAAGACCAGUUGAAGAACAGCCAAAACCUGUCUCUGCUCACGUUGCUCUCAAGGUUGCCACGUCCACCUGACGUGCAUCUGCAUCCUGCUGCCCUGAGAUGUUGCUAAGUGACCAGCAACCAGGCUCAAAAGCUACAACGCCUGCUGCUGCAGUGCAAAAAUAAACAGUUCAGAACGCCAGUUUGGAACCAGUAUCAGGAAGCAGUUGGAUUUUCUGAUGCAAAGGGGAUUUUUGCUUCUGCCUGAGAACAGCCGAGAUUAUGUCAUAAGAAAGGGGCAGAAGAAGCAUCACCAACUCUAAGGAACCAAAGUCUCUCCAGCCACCAAAAUGAAUGCAGCUGCCACUUAGGGGAAGUGGACAAGGACAGAACCACCCAGAGAUGAUGGUGAGAAAAGGCAGAAGGCCUGGGAGCUGGAAAAUGACUCCAUGGAGUAAAAGAUCACAGCAUCCUUUGGGACAAGACCGAUGUUCAUGACAAGGGACACUGUGGACAGCGGUUUACUGAGUCAAACAUCUCAGGAGCAGAAUGUUGAAUGCCACCCUCUCCUCAAGAUGGCAUAGUAGAGCAUGUGUGCAUGUAAUUAUUUUCACUAAACACUAUAUAUGUUCUAAAUUUGUUUGCACUUGAAAUAGGAAUGCUUUACUUUUAAUAAGGUCUCAGGA
This 666-nucleotide long non-coding RNA is filed under the name Homo sapiens (human). RNAcentral's name for it is "HSALNT0137329". Lineage: Eukaryota; Metazoa; Chordata; Mammalia; Primates; Hominidae. The record is from RNAcentral.